Molecule: long non-coding RNA, 391 nt
Filed under: Zostera marina
Lineage: Eukaryota; Viridiplantae; Streptophyta; Magnoliopsida; Alismatales; Zosteraceae
Description: long non-coding RNA (ZMAR_LNC003870)
Source: RNAcentral
AAAAUCUAUUCUUGCGCAGCUUCGUCCUUCAUCCUGUCGAGAGCUUCCUUGUUCUUCUCGAGCUCCUCAGGGUGCUGCUCUACCCACUCCAUAAUAUCCGUGAUGUAGUCCGGAGGUAGAGCAGGGAAUACUGUUGGUCCGAAGAAGAUGAGCUCUUGAAGCUGGUCGGAUUGGUAGCGUACAUCCAUAUCCAACCCAGCAGCUCUAUCAGCAAGUGCGGUGUUGUUGUCCUUCAAGGCCAGCACUUCUUCUUCGGCACUCGCAAGCUCGCUCUUCAGAUCAGAAUUAUCAUGUUGGUUCUGAGCUACUUGCUUCUUCAACUCCGCAAUCGUAGCUUCGCUUGAGGCUAGCUGGCUCUUCAGAUUAUCAACUUCUUGAGCACGGCCAGAAC